GAGUCCGAUUUAGCCAUGCUAGUUGUGCGGGUUUAGACCCGCAGCGGAAAGCUCAUAACACGUGGCCAAGCUACCCUGUGGACGGGAAUACUCUCGGGAAACUGAGGCUAAUCCCCGAUAACGCUUUGCUCCUGGAAGGGGCAAAGCCGGAAACGCUCCGGCGCCACAGGAUGCGGCUGCGGUCGAUUAGGUAGACGGUGGGGUAACGGCCCACCGUGCCCAUAAUGCGGUACGGGUUGUGAGAGCAAGAGCCCGGAGACGGAAUCUGAGACAAGAUUCCGGGCCCUACGGGGCGCAGCAGGCGCGAAACCUUUACACUGUCACGAAAGUGCGAUAAGGGGACUCCGAGUGUGAAGGCAUAGAGCCUUCACUUUUGUACACCGUAAGGUGGUGUACGAAUAAGGACUGGGCAAGACCGGUGCCAGCCGCCGCGGUAAUACCGGCAGUCCGAGUGAUGGCCGAUAUUAUUGGGCCUAAAGCGUCCGUAGCUGGCUGAACAUAGUCCGUUGGGAAAUCUGUCCGCUUAACGGGCAGGCGUCCAGCGGAAACUGUUCAGCUUGGGACCGGAAGACCUGAGGGGUACGUCUGGGGUAGGAGUGAAAUCCUGUAAUCCUGGACGGACAGCCGGUGGCGAAAGCGCCUCAGGAGAACGGAUCCGACAGUGAGGGACGAAGCUAGGGUCUCGAACCGGAUUAGAUACCCGGGUAGUCCUAGCUGUAAACGAUGUCCGCUUAAGGUGUGGCGCAGGCUACGAGCCUGCGCGUGCCGUAGGGAAGCCGAGCAGCGGACCGCCUGGGAGUACGUCUGCA
RNAcentral lists this ribosomal RNA (809 nucleotides) under Halobacterium salinarum. RNAcentral's name for it is "bacterial SSU rRNA". It matches the Rfam family "Archaeal small subunit ribosomal RNA", at positions 36 to 845 of the family's 1478-position model. The record is from RNAcentral. Lineage: Archaea; Methanobacteriati; Methanobacteriota; Halobacteria; Halobacteriales; Halobacteriaceae.